GCAGAAUCGUUUGUCUUUCUUUCUCUCUCUCUCUCUCUUUUUUUUAAUUCAGUGAAAGUUCCUGAGAUGACCACUCACGGUUCCAGACGUUUUUGACGGUUUCUUUAAAGAGGUGAUGUUUAAUACCAGUGUUUAUUUAUAUUCGUAGAAAUAUUUGCUACAUUCAGGGGUGGUUAGCAUGAGAGGUUUAAUCGAAUAUAAAGUGUUAACUAAUAGUUACACUGAUUUGAAAGACGAAGACUUCAAAAAACUGAGCAGAGAGAAAUCUGAAAUUUUUAAAGUCGUGUUGUAGAAUCAAAAUAAUUAAUUUCAAAUAUAAACCAUCCAGAUAAAUUUAGCCACAUUUUCGUCACAGCAAAAAUUUUAAUAUGCAUCCGUAAUUUAAUGUGGGAAGAGAAACUGCGGUUAUAAAUUAAAUUUGUUUCCGAAUUAAGAAACAACGCAAGACUUGCGAGAAAUGCUGUCUUUCACAAUGUGUCUACCCUACGUGACAAUCUGCACAUUUCGCUUUUCCUUGCGGAAAAUCAGAUUACCUUGACGACCGACCCUGACUCAAACUGCUGACACAGCUCCAUCCCUUAUCAGCGACAGUUUUCAAAAAAGAGCUUAUAGAAACUGCACCUCCCGCCACUGGAGGGCGGGAUGAUGAAACCGCUCCCCAUGAAAUCUAAAAUAAAAUUCCGCCUGCAGAAGAGGCGGCAUUUCUUGCAGUGUUCAACGGCAAUGAUUUAGUGAAAGAAUAAUUCUUUCAACAUUCUUGAAGCAUAUCUCGUCGUUCUUUGCAAAAAAGGAAGUCGGCUGUUAAAAGAGGCUAGUGUUAAUCGGUCCGCGUUUUUCUAAUGUCGUUGUUGUUACUUAUUGGAUUAAUCUUGAAAAGUAUGAUGAAAUAACAUACAGCGUUAUUCGAAAGAUAUAAUUGUGCAUAAAAUGAACUCUCAAAGUGAUGAUAUAGUGACAUCCUUCACACACAAAAAAAAAAAAGACAUGUAAAUUAUUGAUUUUUGAAAAUUGAGCGAUUCAUACAUAUGUGACAAAAUUGCUCGCGUGGUAGAUGCAUAAAGAAGCAAAAACUUGCAGAUGAAUUUGGACAUGAUUUAUGACGUAACUUGUUAGAUGGAUGCGUAAAGAAGGAGAGACUUGCAGACGUAGCCGAAUUCACUUAUUUCCUUUUCAUUUAUGCAUAUUUGCUUGACACACGUUUCACUAGGCUAACAAAAGUAAAACGAGCGUUACACCGCCCUCGUCUUAAAGAAUUAUCAUACUGAUAAAGAAGUGGAAAGUUGCAAAAGUAUGAAGCAACCGAGAAGCAGCUCAUUCAGAUGAAGCGUGCGGAAGAGAAAUACAAAAGUUUCGGUUCUUAAUAAAAGUCUUAUUCAAUGAUUAAUUAAAGGUAUUUACAUUGCUGCGUUACAUAAGAUUUUAUGAUGCGGAUUAAUUUUGAAAUGACGCAGUUUAGAUUAUUAAUAUAGUAUGUAUAGUUACUGUUUUUAGGACAAAAAGUGAAAACACGCAAAAUAAAAUGAAGGAUAAAAGGAGCUAUUACCAAUUAAAUGUUUUUCGUUCCCGACAAUCCAUAAAAUCAAAAGAAUAUGUUUAGCGGCGUAUUGGGGUAUGAUACGAGAAUGGUGGACUUUCGACCCUCGACCUCUUCCUUGAAAAAUUCCUGCGUGGACCACUGGUUGAAUGUUAUGCAUGCCUUCGUAGUGUAGCAGUCAGCACGCCCGGCGCGUAUUCGAGAGGCCCGUGGUUCGAGUCCUGACGAAGACGUAGCUCAUUUUUCAUCUCUCCUGCUUCCGAAAUCACCUAAUGUUCCUACAAGAUAAUACUGGAUAUUUUAAAGGCUGUGGAGUAAGACAGAAUUUGGUGUUUAGUUCUAUAAGAUUUCAUCUUCGACUGUUAUAAUGAAAACAUGAUUCUGUUUACACCACCCCCAUCACGUUAUCAUGGACUCCGAACUUCAACUUACAGGACUGCUAGACUGUAUUAAGUGAUGAAAUUUGGUUUAUUCCAUAUGUUGUUACUCUGAUGAUUACUAGAAAAAUUUCCCUUUUAUGUAAUUAUUUCCGCAAUUUUGUACAUUUAAUGUUUUCUUCAGCAUUUCUAACCUGAAAUCUCACAACGUAUCAACGACUACUUCACACCUCACGUGACAAGGUAACACGCUCUCUCAACAUCUGCAAUCCUGACUUAGGUCUCACUCAUGCAUUCUCCUACUUUCAGCGCUCUAUAGAAACUAACUCAGACAGCCGGAAAAAACGUGCAAAUCCUGCAAGUUAAUCAGCGGGCAUCCAGCGGAACUUGGAGUCAGUGUGUGCGUGUGUCUAGUUAGUAUCGAGUCAGUGUCUCAUCUAGUCAGUCGAUCGAGUUCACAGCCGGGCAGCGAGCGCCGAGAGGGUCGUCGAGUGCAUCUUACUAAAAUUCGAGUUCGUCGAGAGAGUAUGUUAUGCUCCGGGAACGACUGAACCGAAGAGUCGAGAGCUGUGAUGUGUGUGUCGUCGAGUGCAUCGCGAGUUGUAGCGUGGGGAAUCUCAAAAGUACGUGGAGUUCCGAGAACGACCGAGCAGAGUCGG
Unclassified non-coding RNA from Stegodyphus dumicola, 2570 nucleotides. The record is from RefSeq and is a predicted model, not a curated record. NCBI's taxonomy places the organism in Eukaryota, Metazoa, Arthropoda, Arachnida, Araneae, Eresidae.